RNAcentral lists this long non-coding RNA (521 nucleotides) under Anas platyrhynchos platyrhynchos (common mallard). Its description in RNAcentral is "lncRNA (ENSAPLG00000018845.1)". The record is from RNAcentral. Lineage: Eukaryota; Metazoa; Chordata; Aves; Anseriformes; Anatidae.
UCCGAGGUUCAAAGCAGGUGGCUCAUUUCCUUUUCAUCAUUUUUCAUUUUUGUUUACCUCUGUUUUCUCAGAUACUGGCCAGGAGUGAAAUUGGAAGAGCUAGAAAUACCAUCAGGAAAUAUGAAAAAAAUGGAUUGUCAAGACUCGCCCUCUACUUGCAUGAAUCUCACCAGUAACUUGAAUGGACAAAUAGCUAAAUACACUAAAUGUGUAUCAGCCCUGUUGGACAUUUUGUGUCAGGUUCUGGACACAAAUUCUGGAAGAAGAUGAGCUCUGUGCAGAAGAUAUCCUGUGAUCAAGGAGGCAGAUGUAUGAGCUGUGCUGGCAAUAGAGCCCAGUGUGACCCAGCGCCGUGUGGUGACAACAGCUGGUGGCCCUGCAGGGCUGGCUGUCCCCAUGCCUGCCCAGUCCCCUGCCCGCUGGGGGUGUCCGGAGCUGUGGCCUGGAGCUGCUGGAGGACUCGGGCUUUAUCUCUGUGCCAGGUGAUCCCAGCUGGGUGCUGGGCCAGCGCUGGUUGGUAA